Molecule: non-coding RNA, 30 nt
Filed under: Rattus norvegicus (Norway rat)
Lineage: Eukaryota; Metazoa; Chordata; Mammalia; Rodentia; Muridae
Source: RNAcentral
UGAAGAGGAGAGCUUACUCAGCCUGUUGUG